AGAAUCAACGCUGGCGGCGUGCCUAACACAUGCAAGUCGAACGAGAAAGUGGAGCAAUCCAUGAGUAAAGUGGCGCACGGGUGAGUAACACGUGACUAACCUACCCUUGAGUGGGGAAUAACUUCGGGAAACCGAGGCUAAUACCGCAUAACACCUACGGGUCAAAGGAGCAAUUCGCUUAAGGAGGGGGUCGCGGCAGAUUAGUUAGUUGGCGGGGUAAUGGCCCACCAAGACGGUGAUCUGUAUCCGGCCUGAGAGGGCGCACGGACACACUGGAACUGAAACACGGUCCAGACUCCUACGGGAGGCAGCAGUGGGGAAUUUGCGCAAUGGGGGAAACCCUGACGCAGCAACGCCGCGUGGAGGAUGAAGUCCCUUGGGACGUAAACUCCUUUCGAUCGGGACGAUUAUGACGGUACCGGAAGAAGAAGCCCCGGCUAACUUCGUGCCAGCAGCCG
Molecule: ribosomal RNA, 458 nt
Filed under: uncultured bacterium
Lineage: Bacteria
Description: SSU rRNA
Rfam family: Bacterial small subunit ribosomal RNA
Source: RNAcentral